CUGAAUGGCCUUUUAGGCCUUCAACCUUGCAAACCUGUGGAAGCAAGACGUGCUUCGGCGCUUCGGCGUCGCUUUUAUGCCUUAAUCAGUCUAUGUGUCUGAAUAAAAUACAAGAAAUA
RNAcentral lists this unclassified non-coding RNA (119 nucleotides) under uncultured Archaeorhizomyces. Its description in RNAcentral is "sequence contains ITS1". Lineage: Eukaryota; Fungi; Ascomycota; Archaeorhizomycetes; Archaeorhizomycetales; Archaeorhizomycetaceae. The record is from RNAcentral.